UACGUAGGGGCCGAGCGUUGUCCGGAGUUAUUGGGCGUAAAGCGCGCGCAGGCGGCCGCGCGCGCCCGACGUGAAAGCCCCCGGCUUAACCGGGGAGGGUCGUUGGGGACGGCGGGGCUUGAGGGCGGGAGAGGUCGGUGGAAUUCCCGGUGUAGUGGUGAAAUGCGUAGAGAUCGGGAGGAACACCUGUGGCGAAGGCGGCCGACUGGGCCGACCCUGACGCUGAGGCGCGAAGGCGUGGGGAGCAAACAGG
RNAcentral lists this ribosomal RNA (253 nucleotides) under uncultured bacterium. RNAcentral describes it as "partial 16S ribosomal RNA". It matches the Rfam family "Bacterial small subunit ribosomal RNA", at positions 524 to 776 of the family's 1533-position model. The record is from RNAcentral.